RNAcentral lists this ribosomal RNA (235 nucleotides) under uncultured bacterium. RNAcentral describes it as "partial 16S ribosomal RNA". It matches the Rfam family "Bacterial small subunit ribosomal RNA", at positions 96 to 334 of the family's 1533-position model. The record is from RNAcentral.
UGGCGGACGGGUGAGUAAUGUCUGGGAAACUGCCUGAUGGAGGGGGAUAACUACUGGAAACGGUAGCUAAUACCGCAUAACGUCGCAAGACCAAAGAGGGGGACCUUCGGGCCUCUUGCCAUCGGAUGUGCCCAGAUGGGAUUAGCUAGUAGGUGGGGUAAAGGCUCACCUAGGCGACGAUCCCUAGCUGGUCCGAGAGGAUGACCAGCCACACUGGAACUGAGACACGGUCCAG